RNAcentral lists this ribosomal RNA (465 nucleotides) under uncultured bacterium. RNAcentral describes it as "bacterial SSU rRNA". It matches the Rfam family "Bacterial small subunit ribosomal RNA", at positions 338 to 795 of the family's 1533-position model. The record is from RNAcentral.
CCUACGGGCCUCAGCAGUGGGGAAUAUUGCACAAUGGGCGCAAGCCUGAUGCAGCCAUGCCGCGUGUAUGAAGAAGGCCUUCGGGUUGUAAAGUACUUUCAGCGGGGAGGAAGGUGUUGUGGUUAAUAACCACAGCAAUUGACGUUACCCGCAGAAGAAGCACCGGCUAACUCCAUGCCAGCAGCCGCGGUAAUACGGAGGGUGCAAGCGUUAAUCGGAAUUACUGGGCGUAAAGCGCACGCAGGCGGUCUGUCAAGUCGGAUGUGAAAUCCCCGGGCUCAACCUGGGAACUGCAUUCGAAACUGGCAGGCUAGAGUCUUGUAGAGGGGGGUAGAAUUCCAGGUGUAGCGGUGAAAUGCGUAGAGAUCUGGAGGAAUACCGGUGGCGAAGGCGGCCCCCUGGAUAAAAACUGACGCUCAGGUGCGAAAGCGUGGGGAGCAAACAGGAUUAGAUACCCGUGUAGUC